RNAcentral lists this ribosomal RNA (92 nucleotides) under uncultured bacterium. Its description in RNAcentral is "partial 16S ribosomal RNA". The record is from RNAcentral.
GGGAGGGCCGUUUUACCACGGUUUGCUUCAUGACUGGGGUAAAAGUCGUUACAAGGUUAGCCGUAGGGAACCUGUGGCUGGAUCACCUCCUU